GUGCUCAAUCCAGCAGCACAUACACUAAAACUGAAACGAUACAGAGAAAAUUAGCACAGCCCCUGCCAAAGGAUGACAAGCAAAUUCAUGCAGCAUUCCAUAUUUUC
Molecule: small nuclear RNA, 107 nt
Organism: Octodon degus (degu)
Lineage: Eukaryota; Metazoa; Chordata; Mammalia; Rodentia; Octodontidae
Source: Ensembl